Molecule: long non-coding RNA, 3306 nt
Filed under: Sarcophilus harrisii (Tasmanian devil)
Lineage: Eukaryota; Metazoa; Chordata; Mammalia; Dasyuromorphia; Dasyuridae
Description: lncRNA (ENSSHAG00000021766.1)
Source: RNAcentral
AUGAAUGUGUGGCAGGGAUCGAAAUCAAGGCUAUAUCAUCUAAAUAGGGAAAUGCAGUCCUUUUUCCUCCAUUUGGAGAUGUGUCUGGUUGUUAGGGUGAGAAACAGUGAAGGACAUGGUGGUCCUCCUGGUCUUCAGAAAUCCACAGAGUCUAAGAGGCCUAGACUUUAUAUGGGUGGAAAUGUAAAUGCCCUUAGACAACAGGAAGUUGCAUCAGGGAAGCCAGAGACAAUUUGGGGUGUGCUACUUAUAUAACCAUAGAUAUUUCUUUUUCUAGUGGAUUUUAUUUACCCCUAUCCUAGUUACUGUUUCAUUUGAGAUAAAAAUUAAAGCAAAUUUGGUUGAUCCAAUCUUUUGAUAGCCACCCCCCUUGGCUCCUUAACAUAAAGAUGAACUGUCAUCCAUUUGGUGGGGUUAGGUGAUUAAAGAAACUUGAGAUACAUAAAUGUAAUGUGAUAUCACUGUCAUUUAAGAAAUGAUAAAAUAUUAAGAAUACUUUUUUCUUUUAAGCAUCUAAAGCUUUUCCCUUCCUUUUGUUAAAAUACAAUUCUUCCUUACAGCUUUAACCAGGUAGGAUCAGGAAAGAUAUAGUAAAGGGAAUUGACUAUUACUAUUAUACACUAUAAAAUACAAGGAAUAGCAGUUGCAUGGGCCUGGUCCAGAAUUCAGCUAAGACUUGAACUUUUAAAGACAAUCUUUUGUAGAAAAAAAAGUUAAUUCUGAUAGUUUAAAGUAGAAAGUGGGUUAGAAUGGAUUAUACCAAUGUCCAUUAUAGAAAAUGGAUAGAUUCCUAAGGGGGAUCCAGGCAAUUAUAUUUAAAAGUAUUACUAGAUUCUUAGUAGUUUUUUGUCAUCAUGAACUUUCUCAAUCAAUGGGAAGAUAAUAUUGAAAAUAUAUAGAGAUAUUAGAGAUGUGACAGGUGAGUAUAGAAAAAAAACCACAACCAUUCUCUCUUCCUUCAAGAUGGAUAUGGAAUAGAAGGGGGUACUACCCAGGAAAAUGUGACGGUCCUCUCAUAGGGAAGCUGCCCCUGUGUACCAGACCACCACACAGAGAGUAUUAGAGGAUUGUCAUGUUUGUCACUUAUGUCUCUAAAGGAAAUGGAAAUAACAGGUGCACUCAGGUUUACAUGGUGUUAGUGGAUAACUUCUUUAAAAUUAUCUUUCCAUCAGUUGAGAAAGUUCAUGAUGACAAAAAACUAGUAGGAUUUCAGGAACAUUUUAAACUAUAAUUGUAUUUUAUUCAUCAUAAUACAUGGUUUAGUUUAGUUUUCUUUUUAGAAAAGAAUAUUGCAGCAGCUGUGUAGAAUGGAUUGUAGAGGGGAGGGAGGAGACAGGUAGACCAAUGAAAAGCUUAGAGCAGUAACCUGGGUGAGAGAUGAUAAGGAUUUAGGGUGAAAAUGUUGUGAGUUGAGAGAAGGGAAAUGAAGGAAGAAAGGCUGUGGGGAUAGAAUGUUGAAUAUGUGAGGUAAAGGCAAGGGAGGUAUUAAGAAUGAUUUUGGGAUUGUAAACCUAGAUGACUAGAAGAAUGAUGACCUCAACAGAAACAGGAAAGGUCAGAAGAGGAAAAUUGUAAAAUUUAGUAGAAUUUUAGAAAUGAGUUUAUAUUCCAAACUUAUGCUGCCUCUGGCUAUCAUAUCUCUACUUGGCAAAUAAAUCAAAUAUUUGUUGAAUGAGGAUGAGGAGAUAUUUAAGUGUCCUUGUUAUGGUCAUUGAUUCAUACUAGUUAUAUUCAUGAGGAUGAGGAGAUAUUUAAGUGUCCUUGUUAUGGUCAUUGAUUCAUACUAGUUAUAUUUCAUUGAGAAAGUAUGUAACCAGCAUCUAUCUUGAAAUCAACACAGCAGAAAUAUGACUUAUGCUUCCUUCCAAGCCUAUAAUUUUAUUGUGAAUUUCCUGUUUCUGUUGGCAGGAAAUAAAGUGAAACAUGGUUAUGGUUGGCUUGGUAGAAGAGACCAUGGAAAGCAGUCAUCCAUCAGGACAGGAGUUCUGGCACUUAAAGGGUUAAGUGCUCUAGGGCAGAGUUUUUUAUAGGAAUGAAUGAUUUCAGGAAGAAGAAAUGGGAAAUUAGUGAGGACAUAGCUAAGGAGUUGGAGGGAUCUAUGCUUUCCUCCCUUUUCUCUCUUAAAGAAAGAGGCAGAGUAGAAAUCCUUAAUCAUGGUGACUACUGAGUCAGCUAGAGAUUGGACUUUCCCCUUUAAUUUCACCUAGCUCUUCCCCUCCUUCACAUAAAAGGGGUAGAAUUUAGCCUCAUAGACUUGUGUUCACAUCCCUUAUGGCAGCAAGACUUCAAUUAGCUCAACUUUCCAUGAAACCUAUGAAGAAUCCCAGAAUCAAGUUUUAAUACCAGGCUUAGGAGAAUUAUAUGAUGAUUCAUAAAGCUAAACAAUAAUUCUUUUUCUUAAUUAAAGCUUUUUAUUUACAAAACAUAUGCAUGGGUAAUUGUGUCCCUCGCAAAAACUUUCUGUUCCAAAUUUUUCCCUCCUUCUCCCCAUCAGCUCCCCUAGAUGGCAGUCCAAUAAUGUUAAAUAUGUUAAAAUAUAUGUUAAAUCUAAUAUAUGUAUACGUAUUUAUACAGUUAUCUUGCUGAACAAGAAAAAUCAGAUCUAGAAAGAAAAAUAAAACUUGAGAAGGAAAACAAAAUGCAAGCAAAUAUCAAUAGAAAGCAUGAAAAUCCUAUGUUGUGAUCCAUACUCAGUUUUCACAGGAUUCUUUUUGGAUGUAUAUGGCUUUCUUCAUCACUGAACAACUGGAACUUGUUUGAAUCAUCUCAUUGUUGACGAGAGCCAUAUCCAUCAGAACUGAUCAUUGUAUGGUCUUCUUGUUGCCAUGUGUAAUGAUCUCCUGGUUCUACUCAAUUCACUCAGCAUCAGUUCAUGUAAGUCUCUCCAGGCCUCUCUGAAAUCAUCUUGCUGGUCGUUUCUUAUAGAACAAUAAUAUUCCAUAACAUUCGUACACCAUAAUUUACUCAGCCAUUCUCCAAUUGAUGGGCAUCCAAUCAGUUUCCCAUUUCUAGCCACUACAAAAAAGACUGCCACAAACAUUUUGGCACAUGUAGGUCCCUUUCCCUCUUUUAAGAUCUCUUUGGGAUAUAAGCCCAGUAGAAACACUGCUGAAUCAAAGGGUAUGGGCAGUUUGAUAACUUUUUGAGCAUAGUUACGAACUGUUGUCCAGAAUGGUUGGAUCCGUUCACAGUCUCACGAACAAUGUAUCAGUGUCCCAGUUUUCCCACAUCCUCUCCAACAUUCUUCCUUAUCUUUUCCUGUCAUCUUAGCCAAUCCGACAGGUGUAAGCCAAACCAUAAUUCAAU